This 322-nucleotide long non-coding RNA is filed under the name Gallus gallus (chicken). RNAcentral describes it as "lncRNA (ENSGALG00010026129.1)". The record is from RNAcentral. Lineage: Eukaryota; Metazoa; Chordata; Aves; Galliformes; Phasianidae.
GGAAUCUGAAAGAUGCAGGAAUAGUGCAACAGUUUGUAACACUACGGAGUUAUUUUAUUUUUCCUAUGCUAAGUUCACUCUUCACUCCUUUCAGUGUCUAAAGAGGAGCUGUAAGAAAGAAGGGGACAGAAUUUAUAAUGGUUUCUGUUGUGAUAGGAGAAGGGGAAAUGGCUUCAGACUGCAAGAGGGGAGACUGAGCCUGGAGAUAAGGAAGAAGGUUUGGCACUGAGGGCGGUGAGGCAGUGGCACAGGUUGCCCAGAGAGGCGGUGGUGCCCCGUCCCUGCAGACAGCCAAGGUCAGGCUGGACGGGGCUCUGAGCAC